AUGCAUAUUAUUAAUAUUUUUAGAAUAUAAUAACUAAUGUUUCAAAAUUAAUUAUAAAUUAAUAAUUAGGGGUGAUAGGCCUAACAAGUUUGAAUUUAUCUGGAUUAUUUUUAAAUGUAUUUAGUACAGAGUUAACUUGAAAAAAAGAAUGGUGAGAUUUUUUUAAGAAAGGAUUUUUAUUAUAUAACGAAUUAAUUAAGUAACCUUGAAUUAAUUAUUAAAUAAUCAAUUAAUAAAUUUAGAAUCUUUAUAUUAAAAUUACAUAUUUUUAAAUUUUAAAAUAUAUUGAUAAUGUUAAAAUUAGUUUAAAAUAUUAAAAUUAUUUAAAAGAACUCGGCAAAAAAAUAUUCAACUGUUUAUCAAAAACAUAGCGUUAUGAAUAUAUAUAAGGUAAAACCUGCCCGGUGUAAUUAAACGGCCGCAGUACCUUGACUGUGCUAAGGUAGCAUAAUAAUUUGACUUUUAAUUGGGGCCUUGAUGAAAGGAAUAAUGGAUAUUAGCUGUUUCUAAAUAAUUUAUUAGAAAUUACAAUGAAGGUGAAAAUUCCUUUAUUAAUAUAAAAGACGAGAAGACCCUAGGAGUUUAAAUUUAUUUUGUUGGGGCGACAUUACAGCAUUUAACCUGUAAAAUUUAAUAAUAUAAAACGAAUAAUUUUAAUUUUAAUUAAGCUACCCUAGGGAUAACAGCAUAAUUAUUUUAUAGAUUGUGACCUCGAUGUUGGAUUAGGAAAUUUAAAUAUUAGUAAUAUUUACUUUAAGUUCUGUUCGAACUU
RNAcentral lists this ribosomal RNA (772 nucleotides) under Drusia deshayesii. RNAcentral describes it as "partial 16S ribosomal RNA". The stretch from base 317 to 516 matches the Rfam family "Bacterial large subunit ribosomal RNA", at positions 1697 to 2031 of the family's 2925-position model. The record is from RNAcentral. Lineage: Eukaryota; Metazoa; Mollusca; Gastropoda; Stylommatophora; Parmacellidae.